UUGCUAAUUGAUAUCUCAUGAUUUUCAUUGUUUUUAUCUUCUCAUUUUAGUUCAUAUAAGUCAUUUUAGAUUGCAUUUAUAUGUGUAUAGUGCACACAUUUGUCCAUUUGCAUAUACAGGGUUGGAUUGCACAUUUGAGAAGUUUGGGGCCAAAUCACAAAGUUAUUCUCGCAAAUCACAAAGUUUGUGGUCGAUAUGGAAACCAUCAAGAGUCAAGGGAUCAUUCUGCAAAUAUGCUGGGUCUAUUCUGCAAAUUAAAAGUUCAAGCCUUGAUUCGGGUGGACCUUGUUGUAACUUCAAUAGUUUUGGGGCCGUUAUUUAGAGAACAAGAAGUUCAGGGACCUGUUCAGCAAAAUUUGUAAACCAGCCAUUGUUGUUGUUCGAUCUUCUUCUCCGGUUAACGCCGACGACUCUGACGGCCACCACGACGGCUUGAAGCUCGACGAAAUGGAUAAAACGCAAGGAAGAGAAGCUUGAACCAGCGUUCUCAUGGUGAAUUGUCGCAGAUCUAAGCCAUGGCCGUGGAGGACCAUCACGAGGGAGACGACGAAGCUCCAGAGGUCGCAGAGGAUGAUAGCUCGAGAUUAGGAGACGGAACUGUUGCGGUGAGGAGCUUUGAUUCCUGCGGGUUGCGUGGAGGAGCUGAGCACCGGUGCUUCUGGCCGGAGCACAAGAUCAAACACCACCACGAGCGAAGUCUGAGACGAAGAAGGUGACAACUUUGCAGCGUUCGAUUCCAAAGCUUCAGAGCGGUUUGAUGUAAUGAGGGAAGGAGAUCGCUGGGAAGUGGGCGUAGUUCACAACGACCAAGGGCAGCGGGGACGAGACAUCGCUCGCAAAGACGGGGAACUCACCAGCGACUUGAUGGAGCGACUCGAACAUGUCGCUGUGGAGAGGACAAGAAACGUUAUUUUGAGUUUGACCCGGUUAAUUCUGGGUUGACCCGGUUUAAUGUGUCCAAACCAGCACGACCUCUACUUCUCUUUAAAUAGAUUUUGACCUAAAAAUAUCAGAUUUAUCUCAUUUUUCUCUCUAGACUUUGCUUCCAUUGUAAAAGCUUGAAUCUUUUUAUCAAUCUAAGAAGUACUUCAUCA
Raphanus sativus (radish) is the source of this 1094-nucleotide long non-coding RNA. RefSeq lists it as uncharacterized. NCBI's taxonomy places the organism in Eukaryota, Viridiplantae, Streptophyta, Magnoliopsida, Brassicales, Brassicaceae. The transcript is spliced from 2 exons. The record is from RefSeq and is a predicted model, not a curated record.